AGAGCGAACGCUGGCGGCAGGCUUAACACAUGCAAGUCGAGCGGGCGUAGCAAUACGUCAGCGGCAGACGGGUGAGUAACGCGUGGGAACAUACCUUUUGGUUCGGAACAACACAGGGAAACUUGUGCUAAUACCGGAUAAGCCCUUACGGGGAAAGAUUUAUCGCCGAAAGAUUGGCCCGCGUCUGAUUAGCUAGUUGGUGAGGUAACGGCUCACCAAGGCGACGAUCAGUAGCUGGUCUGAGAGGAUGAUCAGCCACAUUGGGACUGAGACACGGCCCAAACUCCUACGGGAGGCAGCAGUGGGAAUAUUGGACAAUGGGCGCAAGCCUGAUCCAGCCAUGCCGCGUGAGUGAUGAAGGCCCUAGGGUUGUAAAGCUUCUUUUGUGCGGGAAGAUAAGUGACGGUACCGCAAAGAAUAACGCCCCGGCUAACUUCGCGCCAGCAGCCGC
Molecule: ribosomal RNA, 451 nt
Filed under: uncultured bacterium
Lineage: Bacteria
Description: SSU rRNA
Rfam family: Bacterial small subunit ribosomal RNA
Source: RNAcentral